AGGGUUGGGCAAAGUCUGCAAACAUCCCUGUAAACUAUAUAUGGGGAUAUAAGCUGCGUGGCUACAGAGUGAGCAGGGUGCAGUAAGGUAACCGACUGACAGUGAUUAAACUCCAGUAAGGGUAAGCUGAGUUCAGUUAGGGUAGGAGGCACACAGUGAGUGAUUGACUUCUACACUGUGGGCAUAUGGUGAACUGGGGACAACGUGACCUGUGACUAAGUGGCAUACAGGGGCACGUGAGGCAUGCAGUAAGUGAGUGGCAUACAGGGGUACAGGAAGCAUGCAGUAAGUGAGUGGCAUACAGGGGUAAAGAAAGCAAGCAGUAAGUGAGUGGCUUACAGGGGUACAGGAGGCGGGCAGCGAUUGAGUGACUGGCUACAUAAGAGUGUAUUGCUGAACAUGAUGAGCCAGUUGUCGCAGCACUGGUGGGGAGUCACUGUUUCACAGUCUAAUGCCCUCCUGCUGGGCAUCAUUAUUAUUGUCUGUCUUCUGCUGCUGGACUUCAUUAAGCGCAGGAAGCCCUGGUCUCGCUACCCCCCAGGCCCCAUGUCUAGACCCUUCCUGGGAAACAUGCUGCAACUUGACUUCAACAACCUCCACAGCAACUUCAUACAGCUGAGCAAACUCUAUGGGGACGUAUUCAGCCUGCAGUUAUUCUGGCAAAAUGUGGUUGUGUUGAAUGGUUUUGAAGCUAUGAAAGAAGCUCUGCUACAAAAGUCUGAUGAUAUCGCUGACAGACCCAGGUUUCCUUUGUUUGAAGCUUUUGGUCUAAGUGGGAAUUCCCAGGCUGUGGUCAUGGCCCACUAUGGGAGGGCCUGGAAGGAGCAGAGACGCUUCUCGCUGUCGACACUGAGAGAUUUUGGAAUGGGAAAGAAGUCACUAGAGAACAGAUGGACAGAGGAGGCUUGGCAUCUGUGUGCGGCUUUCAAGGCUGAGCAGGGACAGCCUUUUAACCCCAGUUACAUCAUCAAGAUCGCUGUCAGUAACAUCAUAUCUUCCAUUAUAUUUGGGGAUCGGUUUGAUUACGACAAUGAGAAAUUCCAGCUGAUGCUGAACCACUUUGAUGAGGCAUUGAAAGCUGAAUCAUCAUUAAUUGCACAGGUCGUUAAUGCUAUCCCAUGUCUGAUACACAUCCCUGGUUUGGCUAAAGUUAUUAUCCGGCCACAUAUCCAGAUGAUUGACUACCUCGGCAAGAUGGUACAUGAGCAGCAGGAAUCCUGGCACGCUGGCUAUACCAGGCAUUUAAUAGAUGCCUUCUUACUGGAGAUGGAGAGGGCAAAAGAUGACAAAGAGAGCAGUUUUAAUAAGAAGAAUCUUGUAUUUACUUCUAUGGACUUAUUUACAGCUGGCAUAGAAACCACCAGCACCACCCUGCGAUGGGCUUUGCUCUACAUGUUACUGUAUCCAGAAGUCCAGCGAAAAGUUCAGGAAGAAAUUGACCAGGUGAUUGGACGAAAUAGGAGACCUACAAUGAUGGAUGUGUUGAGUAUGCCAUACACCAACGCCGUGAUCCAUGAAGUCCAGCGAUGUGGAGAUAUUGUGCCUUUGGCACUACCACAUAAGGCAUACCGAGACACCCAGAUACAAGGACUAUUCAUCCCCAAGGGCACGGUCGUGAUGACCAAUCUGUCCUCGGUGCUGAAGGACGACAGAGUGUGGGAGAAGCCGCAGCAGUUUUACCCAGGGCACUUCCUAGAUGCAGAUGGCAGAUUUGUGAAACGUGAGGCGUUCAUGGUAUUUUCUGCAGGAGACCGGUACUCCUAUGGCUGUGUGAUUGACAGGGUUCUUCACGCCCCAUAGUAUACGCAUCAGCGUGUGUUGCACGCUGAGGAUGUCAUCACUCCUUGACACUGCACGCGGGCCGCAAAUUGCGGUUCGGCGUUUGGAGACUUCACACAUGGGUAUUUAAGGUCGGCGAUCGUGCCUGGGGGAGCAGUUAGCCAGGAUGGGCCUUUUCCUCUUCUUUACCAGCCUCCUACAGACAUUUACAUUUCAGAUCCCCAGUGACCAACCUCCGCCAAGAGAAGACCCUUUGGUUACUGUGAC
Bombina bombina (fire-bellied toad) is the source of this 2046-nucleotide RNA transcript. It is a transcript of the gene named cytochrome P450 2D6, with no coding region annotated. The transcript has 10 exons. The record is from RefSeq and is a predicted model, not a curated record. NCBI's taxonomy places the organism in Eukaryota, Metazoa, Chordata, Amphibia, Anura, Bombinatoridae.